This 255-nucleotide ribosomal RNA is filed under the name uncultured bacterium. Its description in RNAcentral is "partial 16S ribosomal RNA". It matches the Rfam family "Bacterial small subunit ribosomal RNA", at positions 524 to 776 of the family's 1533-position model. The record is from RNAcentral.
UACGGAGGGUGCGAGCGUUGUCCGGAAUCAUUGGGCGUAAAGGGCGCGUAGGUGGCUUCUCACGCGUGCGGUGAAAGCCUGGGGCUCAACCCCGGGUCGGCCGUGGGAACUGGGGGGCUUGAGCACUGUAGAGGCAGGCGGAAUUCCGGGUGUAGCGGUGGAAUGCGUAGAGAUCCGGAAGAACACCGGUGGGGAAGGCGGGCUGCUGGGCAGUUUAGCUGACACUGAGGCGCGAAAGCGUGGGGAGCAAACAGG